GAUGAACGCUGGCGGCGUGCUUAACACAUGCAAGUCGAACGAGAAGUGAAGACGGAAACCUUCGGGCGGAAGGCUUUAUUUCGAGUGGCGGACGGGUGAGUAACGCGUGGGUAACCUGCCUCAUACAGGGGGAUAACAGUUGGAAACGACUGUUAAUACCGCAUAAGACCACAGCACCGCAUGGUGCGGGGGUAAAAACUCCGGUGGUAUGAGAUGGACCCGCGUUCGAUUAGCCAGUUGGCGGGGUAACGGCCCACCAAAGCGACGAUCGAUAGCCGAUCUGAGAGGAUGACCGGCCACAUUGGGACUGAGACACGGCCCAAACUCCUACGGGAGGCAGCAGUGGGGAAUAUUGCACAAUGGGGGAAACCCUGAUGCGGCGACGCCGCGUGAGUGAAGAAGUAUUUCGGUAUGUAAAGCUCUAUCAGCAGGGAAGAAAAUGACGGUACCUGAGUAAGAAGCCCCGGCUAACUACGUG
RNAcentral lists this ribosomal RNA (478 nucleotides) under uncultured bacterium. RNAcentral's name for it is "partial 16S ribosomal RNA". It matches the Rfam family "Bacterial small subunit ribosomal RNA", at positions 28 to 507 of the family's 1533-position model. The record is from RNAcentral.